This is a long non-coding RNA of Musca domestica (house fly), 278 nucleotides long. RefSeq lists it as uncharacterized. The transcript is spliced from 2 exons. The record is from RefSeq and is a predicted model, not a curated record. Lineage: Eukaryota; Metazoa; Arthropoda; Insecta; Diptera; Muscidae.
CAUCUAGUCGAUCAUACAUUUAUUCACACUGGCGAGAAACAAUUCGAAUGUUCCACCUGUUCGAAAGCAUUCCAGACACGUAAACGUUUACAGGAUCAUUUGUACAAGGUACAUUCUGGUCAUCGGUAUAGUUGUUACAUGUGUGAAAAGACAUUCCUGAAACCACACCUACUAAAAAUUCAUCUCUUUUCUGCACACAAAGUGGCCUAUGAUGAUGUCUCACAUUUAAAAAUGAAAAUAGAUCAAAAUAAAGCGAUAGAAAAAUAAAUGUUUUUAAA